Molecule: ribosomal RNA, 236 nt
Filed under: uncultured bacterium
Lineage: Bacteria
Description: partial 16S ribosomal RNA
Rfam family: Bacterial small subunit ribosomal RNA
Source: RNAcentral
GACGAACGCUGGCGGCGUGCUUAACACAUGCAAGUCGAGCGGUAAGGCCCUUUCGGGGUACGACGAGCGGCGAACGGGUAGGAGUAACAACGUGGGUGGACCUCGCCCUCCAGCUCUGGGAGUAAAGCCUCGGGAAACCGGGGUACUAAUACUGGAUAUGACUCCAUGACGCAUGUUGGUGGGGUGGAAAGCCUUGUGCGGCUGAGGAUGGGCCCGCGGCCUAUCAGCUUGUUGGU